GCCGACGUAGCUCAACGGUAGAGCGUCUGAUUUGUAAUCAGAUGGUUGGGGGUUCGAUUCCCUUCGUCGGCUCCA
Molecule: transfer RNA, 75 nt
Filed under: Deltaproteobacteria bacterium
Lineage: Bacteria; Pseudomonadati; Myxococcota; Myxococcia
Also listed under: 3 other names
Description: tRNA-Thr
Rfam family: tRNA
About the family: Transfer RNA (tRNA) molecules are approximately 80 nucleotides in length. Their secondary structure includes four short double-helical elements and three loops (D, anti-codon, and T loops).
Source: RNAcentral